GAAAAAGUAUGCGAGAACUGCUAAUUCAUGCCNCCACGUAUAAAANCGUGGCUUUUUCA
RNAcentral lists this transfer RNA (59 nucleotides) under Panthera onca (jaguar). Its description in RNAcentral is "tRNA-Ser". The record is from RNAcentral. Lineage: Eukaryota; Metazoa; Chordata; Mammalia; Carnivora; Felidae.